RNAcentral lists this ribosomal RNA (478 nucleotides) under uncultured bacterium. RNAcentral's name for it is "partial 16S ribosomal RNA". It matches the Rfam family "Bacterial small subunit ribosomal RNA", at positions 28 to 523 of the family's 1533-position model. The record is from RNAcentral.
GACGAACGCUGGCAGCGUGCUUAACACAUGCAAGUCGAACGGUAAGGCCCUUCGGGGUACACGAGUGGCGAACGGGUGAGUAACACGUGGGUGAUCUGCCCUGCACUUCGGGAUAAGCCUGGGAAACUGGGUCUAAUACCGGGUAGGACCACUGCCUGCAUGGGUGGUGGUGGAAAGCUUUUGCGGUGUGGGAUGGGCCCGCGGCCUAUCAGCUUGUUGGUGGGGUGAUGGCCUACCAAGGCGACGACGGGUAGCCGGCCUGGGAGGGUGACCGGCCACACUGGGACUGGGAUACGGCCCAGACUCCUACGGGAGGCAGCAGUGGGGAAUAUUGCACAAUGGGCGCAAGCCUGAUGCAGCGACGCCGCGUGAGGGAUGACGGCCUUCGGGUUGUAAACCUCUUUCAGCACCGACGAAGCGCAAGUGACGGUAGGUGCAGAAGAAGGACCGGCCAACUACGUGCCAGCAGCCGCCGUAA